AGAAUUUGCAAAGCAGAGUUUUACACAACGCGACAGUCACAGACGGAUGCUAUGAGUGUAUCCACCCACGUACAUGGCCUUUUAGUUGGGUCAUGUGUGCUGUAAUGCUUUUACCAAAGACUGACAUAUACUAAUGGAUCGGGAAAAGUAGACUGACAUGGCUCUCGUCGACGAUGGAAAACGGCGAGUUCUCAACCGGUGGCUAUCCUCGACUAAGGAAACAUCGAUUUCUCUCUCGCGGUGGCGAUUGUUUCUCAAAGGAAUCUUAAGAUGGAUGAAGAGGCAUGAUUCAUAUCAAGCUACAACAAAAGGGCUACGACUAUUCAGACAGUUCGGUGGGUGUUAUGAAGCCGCAACUAGAGAGAAAAGUAGCGGAUGCAAUGAGAAUGAUGUCCUGAAAAGAGAUCAUGACAAGAAGAAAUUCACCCUUGAGCAUGCUUGGAAGGAGUUGCGGAACGAUCAGAAGUGGUGUGACCUUGCCACUGCCAAAAACGAUGGAGGCUCUAAGAAGAGGAAGUGUGAUGAUGGUGCAGAUUCAUCAAGCUCUCAAGCUACUGAAUCAAAGCAUCCCGCGGGUGUGAAGGCUGCAAAGGCCCAUGGUAAGAAGACUAUGGCAGAGGAGAAUGCGCUGAAUGAGUUUCAGAGAAUGUGGGACAUUAAAUAGCAGGACUUGGCAAUAAAGGAGAGGUUAUCGAAGAUGAGUCUACUUGACUCUCUUAUUGCAAAAAAAGAACCUCUAGCCGACUAUGAAGAAGCCCUCAAGGAGAAGCUCAUCAGUGACUUAAUGUCUAAUUAGUUUAAGUGUCAAGCAGAGGGAGCAAACAGACAUAAGGAGUAGAGUUUUAGUCUUGUGGUCUUGUCGUGGAACAAACAGAGACAAGGAGUAGAGUUGUGGUCUUGUGGUCUUGUCGUGGAGCAAACAGAGACAAGGAGUAGAGUUGCAGUCUUGUGAUCUUAUCGUGGAGCAAACAGAGACAAGGAGUAGAGUUGUAGUCUUGUGUCACAGAGUGAAAGAGUUGUAGUCUUGUGUCACGGAGUCUCGUUCAUGCAUGUUGUCAGGAGUCUUGUUUUUUUUCAACGUGUAUUGUUGUAAUCUUGUGUCACGAGAUGAAGUACCAAAUAUCAUGGUUUGUUCUUUCACAAACUGAUUCUCUAUAUAAAGUCUCGUUGUACU
This is an RNA transcript of Brassica napus (rape), 1174 nucleotides long. It is a transcript of the gene named glutathione S-transferase T2-like, with no coding region annotated. The transcript has 4 exons. The record is from RefSeq and is a predicted model, not a curated record. NCBI's taxonomy places the organism in Eukaryota, Viridiplantae, Streptophyta, Magnoliopsida, Brassicales, Brassicaceae.